RNAcentral lists this ribosomal RNA (460 nucleotides) under uncultured bacterium. RNAcentral's name for it is "partial 16S ribosomal RNA". It matches the Rfam family "Bacterial small subunit ribosomal RNA", at positions 338 to 795 of the family's 1533-position model. The record is from RNAcentral.
CCUACGGGUGGCAGCAGUGAGGAAUAUUGGUCAAUGGGCGCAAGCCUGAACCAGCCAAGUCGCGUGAGGGAUGACGGUCCUAUGGAUUGUAAACCUCUUUUGUCGGGGAGCAAGGCCCGCCACGUGUGGCGGGAAGGAGAGAACCUGAAGAAAAAGCAUCGGCUAACUCCGGUCCAGCGGCCCCGGUAAUACGGAGAAUGCAACCGUGAUCCGGUUUUAUUGGGUUAAAGGGGGGCGUAGGGGGAAGGUUAAGUCAGCGGUCAAUUGUCGGUGUUCAACGCCGGCCUGCCGUUGAAACUGGUCGUCUUGAGUGAGCGAGAGGUAUGCGGAAUGCGUGGUGUAGCGGUGAAAUGCUUAGAUAUCACGCAGAACUCCGAUUGCGAAGGCAGCAUACCGGCGCUCAACUGACGCUGAGGCACGAAAGCGUGGGGAUCGAACAGGAGUAGAUACCCUUGUAGUC